RNAcentral lists this ribosomal RNA (519 nucleotides) under uncultured bacterium. Its description in RNAcentral is "partial 16S ribosomal RNA". It matches the Rfam family "Bacterial small subunit ribosomal RNA", at positions 29 to 523 of the family's 1533-position model. The record is from RNAcentral.
AACUAACGCUGGCGGCGUGCCUAACACAUGCAAGUCGAACGAGAAAGUUGGCUUCGGCCGAUGAGUAAAGUGGCGCACGGGUGAGUAACGCGUGGAUAAUCUGCCCUUUAGUUUGGAAUAACGUACCGAAAGGUGCGCUAAUACCGGAUAAUACUGAAUGACUACUGUCGUUUAGUCAAAGAAGGCUUCUGUUUACAUGCUUUUGCUGAAGGAUGAGUCCGCGUACCAUUAGCUAGUUAGUAGGGUAAUGGCAUACCAAGGCGACGAUGGUUAGCUGGUCUGAUAGGAUGAUCAGCCACACUGGAACUGAGACACGGUCCAGACUCCUACGGGAGGCAGCAGUGAGGAAUAUUGCGCAAUGGGGGCAACCCUGACGCAGCAACGCCGCGUGAGUGAGGAAGGUUUUCGGACCGUAAAGCUCUGUCGAGCGGGAAGAAAUGCAUGGUGGCUAAUAUCCAUCAUGCUUGACGGUACCGCUAAAGGAAGCACCGGCUAACUCCGUGCCAGCCGCCGCAGUAA